AGCGAACGCUGGCGGCAGGCCUAACACAUGCAAGUCGAACGGACCCUUCGGGGUUAGUGGCGGACGGGUGAGUAACACGUGGGAACGUGCCUUUAGGUUCGGAAUAGCUCCUGGAAACGGGUGGUAAUGCCGAAUGUGCCCUUCGGGGGAAAGAUUUAUCGCCUUUAGAGCGGCCCGCGUCUGAUUAGCUAGUUGGUGAGGUAACGGCUCACCAAGGCGACGAUCAGUAGCUGGUCUGAGAGGAUGACCAGCCACACGGGGACUGAGACACGGCCCAGACCCAGCGGGGAGGAAGCGGGGGGUAUUCUGGCCAAAGGGGCGAAAGCUGGGCAAGCCCUGGCCGGGUAAAUAAUGAAGUUUUUGGAAGAAAAAAUUUUUUUCGCCGGGGGCAAUAAGGGCGGGCCCGGAAAAAGAAGCCCCGGCUCACUUCGGG
Molecule: ribosomal RNA, 433 nt
Filed under: uncultured bacterium
Lineage: Bacteria
Description: partial 16S ribosomal RNA
Rfam family: Bacterial small subunit ribosomal RNA
Source: RNAcentral